Molecule: ribosomal RNA, 253 nt
Filed under: uncultured bacterium
Lineage: Bacteria
Description: partial 16S ribosomal RNA
Rfam family: Bacterial small subunit ribosomal RNA
Source: RNAcentral
UACGAAGGGGGCUAGCGUUGUUCGGAAUUACUGGGCGUAAAGCGCGCGCAGGCGGUCUUCCAAGUCAGUGGUGAAAGCCCGGAGCUCAACUCCGGAACUGCCAUUGAAACUGUUUAGCUUGAGGAUGAGAGAGGUGAGUGGAAUUCCCAGUGUAGAGGUGAAAUUCGUAGAUAUUGGGAAGAACACCGGUGGCGAAGGCGGCUCACUGGCUCAUUACUGACGCUCAGGCGCGAUAGCGUGGGGAUCAAACAGG